UACGUAGGGUGCAAGCGUUGUCCGGAAUUAUUGGGCGUAAAGAGCUCGUAGGCGGUUCGUCGCGUCGGCUGUUAAAUCCCGAGGCUCAACCUCGGGUCUGCAGUCGAUACGGGCGGACUGGAGUACUGCAGGGGAGACUGGAAUUCCUGGUGUAGCGGUGAAAUGCGCAGAUAUCAGGAGGAACACCGGUGGCGAAGGCGGGUCUCUGGGCAGUUACGGACGCGGAGGAGCGAAAGCGUGGGGAGCGAACAGG
Molecule: ribosomal RNA, 253 nt
Filed under: uncultured bacterium
Lineage: Bacteria
Description: partial 16S ribosomal RNA
Rfam family: Bacterial small subunit ribosomal RNA
Source: RNAcentral